AGAAUCAACGCUGGCGGCGUGCCUAACACAUGCAAGUCGAACGAGAAAGUGGAGCAAUCCAUGAGUAAAGUGGCGCACGGGUGAGUAACACGUGACUAACCUACCCUUGAGUGGGGGAUAACCUAGAGAAAUCUGGGCUAAUACCGCAUAAUACCUUCGGGUCAAAGGAGCAAUUCGCUUAAGGAGGGGGUCGCGGCCGAUUAGUUAGUUGGCGGGGUAAUGGCCCACCAAGACUGUGAUCGGUAUCCGGCCUGAGAGGGCGCACGGACACACUGGAACUGAAACACGGUCCAGACUCCUACGGGAGGCAGCAGUGGGAAUUUGCGCAAUGGGGGAAACCCUGACGCAGCAACGCCGCGUGGAGGAUGAAGCCCCUUGGGGCGUAAACUCCUUUCGAUCGGGAAGAUAAUGACGGUACCGAGAGAAGAAGCCCCGGCUAACUUCGCGCCAGCAGCCGC
Molecule: ribosomal RNA, 458 nt
Filed under: uncultured bacterium
Lineage: Bacteria
Description: SSU rRNA
Rfam family: Bacterial small subunit ribosomal RNA
Source: RNAcentral